This 1230-nucleotide ribosomal RNA is filed under the name Clostridiaceae bacterium. RNAcentral describes it as "bacterial SSU rRNA". It matches the Rfam family "Bacterial small subunit ribosomal RNA", at positions 1 to 1250 of the family's 1533-position model. Lineage: Bacteria; Bacillati; Bacillota; Clostridia; Eubacteriales; Clostridiaceae. The record is from RNAcentral.
GAACUUAAGAGUUUGAUCCUGGCUCAGGACGAACGCUGGCGGCAUGCCUAAUACAUGCAAGUCGAACGGAUCAGGUAGCAAUACUUGGUUAGUGGCGAACGGGUGAGUAAUGUAUGAGCAACCUGCCUUAUGCCUUGGGAUAACACUUAGAAAUGAGUGCUAAUACCGAAUAUGACCACGUCAUCGCAUGGUGACGGGGUAAAAGUGAUUUAGCGGCAUAAGAUGGGCUCAUAUCCCAUUAGCUUGUUGGUGAGAUAACAGCCCACCAAGGCGACGAUGGGUAGCCGACUUGAGAGAGUGAUCGGCCACACUGGAACUGAGACACGGUCCAGACUCCUACGGGAGGCAGCAGUAAGGAAUAUUGGUCAAUGGAGGAAACUCUGAACCAGCAAUGCCGCGUGAGUGAAGAAGGUCUUCGGAUUGUAAAGCUCUUUUAUCAGGAAAGAAUAAAUGACGGUACCUGAUGAAUAAGCCCCGGCUAACUACGUGCCAGCAGCCGCGGUAAUACGUAGGGGGCAAGCGUUGUCCGGAAUGACUGGGCGUAAAGGGAGUGUAGGCGGCACUUUAAGUUAUAUGUGAAAACCCCGGGCUUAACCCGGGACCUGCAUAUAAAACUGGAGAGCUGGAGUGCGGGAGAGGUAAGCGGAAUUCCUGGUGUAGCGGUGGAAUGCGUAGAUAUCAGGAGGAACACCGGUGGCGAAGGCGGCUUACUGGACCGUAACUGACGCUGAGGCUCGAAAGCGUGGGUAGCAAACAGGAUUAGAUACCCUGGUAGUCCACGCCCUAAACGAUGGAUACUAAACGAAGGGGGUAUUAACUCCCCCUGUGUUGAAGCAAACGCGAUAAGUAUCCCGCCUGGGGAGUACGGCCGCAAGGUUGAAACUCAAAGAAAUUGACGGGGACCCGCACAAGCAGCGGAGCAUGUGGUUUAAUUCGAAGCAACGCGAAGAACCUUACCAAGACUUGACAUCUGUACGAAUAUAUUGGAAACAGUAUAGCCUUUCGGGGCGUACGGACAGGUGGUGCAUGGUUGUCGUCAGCUCGUGUCGUGAGAUGUUCGGUUAAGUCCGGCAACGAGCGCAACCCUUGUGAUAUGUUGCCAAUAUUAAGUUAGGAACUCAUAUCAGACUGCCGUGGAUAACACGGAGGAAGGCGGGGAUGACGUCAAAUCAUCAUGCCCCUUACGUCUUGGGCUACACACGUGCUACAAUGGGCGCAACAAAGAGAAGC